CUACGGGACGCACCAGUGGGGAAUAUUGGACAAUGGGGGAAACCCUGAUCCAGCAAUGCCGCGUGUGCGAAGAAGGCCUGCGGGUUGUAAAGCACUUUCGGUUGGGAGGACUGCUUCUAGCACUAAUAUUGUUGGAAGUUGACGUUACCUUCAGAAGAAGCACCGGGUAACUCCGUGCCAGCAGCCGCGGUAAUAGCGGAGGGUGCAAGCGUUAAUCGGAAUUACUGGGCGUAAAGCGCGCGUAGGCGGCUAGAUCAGUCGGGUGUGAAAGCCCCGGGCUUAACCUGGGAACUGCAUCCGAUACUGUCUAGCUUGAGUACAGGAGAGGAGAGUGGAAUUCCACAUGUAGCGGUGAAAUGCGUAGAUAUGUGGAGGAACACCAAUGGCGAAGGCAGCUCUCUGGCCUGAUACUGACGCUGAGGUGCGAAAGCGCGGGGAGCAAACAGGAUUAGAUACCCGUGUAGUC
This 466-nucleotide ribosomal RNA is filed under the name uncultured bacterium. RNAcentral describes it as "partial 16S ribosomal RNA". It matches the Rfam family "Bacterial small subunit ribosomal RNA", at positions 339 to 795 of the family's 1533-position model. The record is from RNAcentral.